This 263-nucleotide ribosomal RNA is filed under the name uncultured bacterium. RNAcentral's name for it is "partial 16S ribosomal RNA". It matches the Rfam family "Bacterial small subunit ribosomal RNA", at positions 863 to 1121 of the family's 1533-position model. The record is from RNAcentral.
AGUUGACCGCCUGGGGNAGUACGGCUCGCAAGAUUAAAACUCAAAGGAAUUGACGGGGACCCGCACAAGCGGUGGAUGAUGUGGAUUAAUUCGAUGCAACGCGAAAAACCUUACCUACCCUUGACAUGUCUGGAAUGCCNAAGAGAUUUGUNAGUGCUCGCAAGAGAACCGGAACACAGGUGCUGCAUGGCUGUCGUCAGCUCGUGUCGUGAGAUGUUGGGUUAAGUCCCGCAACGAGCGCAACCCUUGUCAUUAGUUGCUAC